GCCUCGGUGGUGUAGUGGUUUCAUGCGUUCCCGGUGUGGAUGAAGCGCUGGUUCGACUCCCGUGGGAGGUC
Non-coding RNA from Parelaphostrongylus tenuis, 71 nucleotides. NCBI's taxonomy places the organism in Eukaryota, Metazoa, Nematoda, Chromadorea, Rhabditida, Metastrongylidae. The record is from the annotation of a GenBank genome assembly.